CAAACUUUUUCAAUUGCAUCUCUCCCUUGCACCCCCUCCAGGGAGCAGGAGGUGAGUGGGGCAGGACAGGAGAGAGGGAGCCAUGCUCUGGAGGUGGGGAGUGAGUGGGGCAGGACAGGGGAGGGGGAGCCAUGCUCUGGAGGUGGUGAGUGAGUGGGGCAGGACAGGGGAGGGGGAGCCAUGCUCUGGAGGUGGGGAGUGAGUGGGGGAGGACAGGGGAGGGGGAGCCAUGCUCUGGAGGUGGGGAGUGAGUGGGGGAGGACAGGGGAGGGGGAGCCAUGCUCUGGAGGUGGGGAGUGAGUGGGGGAGGACAGAGGAGGGGGAGCCAUGCUCUGGAGGUGGGGAGUGAGUGGGGGAGGACAGGGGAGGGGGAGCCAUGCUCUGGAGGUGGGGAGUGAGUGGGGCAGGACAAGGGAGGGGGAGCCAUGCUCUGGAGGUGGGGAGUGAGUGGGGCAGGACAGGGGAGGGGGAGCCAUGCUCUGGAGGUGGGGAGUGAGUGGGGGAGGACAGGGGAGGGGGAGCCAUGCUCUGGAGGUGGGGAGUGAGUGGGGGAGGACAGGGGAGGGGGAGCCAUGCUCUGGAGGUGGGGAGUGAGUGGGGCAGGACAAGGGAGGGGGAGCCAUGCUCUGGAGGUGGGGAGUGAGUGGGGCAGGACAGGGGAGGGGGAGCCAUGCUCUGGAGGUGGGGAGUGAGUGGGGGAGGACAGGGGAGGGGGAGCCAUGCUCUGGAGGUGGGGAGUGAGCGGGGGAGGGCGGGGGAGGGGGAGCCAUGCUCUGGAGGUGGGGAGUGAGUGGGGGAGGACAGGGGAGGGGGAGCCAUGCUCUGGAGAUGGGGAGUGAGCGGGGGAGGACAGGGGAGGGGGAGCCAUGCUCUGGAGGUGGGGAGUGAGUGGGGGAGGACAAGGGAGGGGAAGCCAC
This is a long non-coding RNA of Gopherus flavomarginatus (Mexican gopher tortoise), 917 nucleotides long. RefSeq lists it as uncharacterized. Lineage: Eukaryota; Metazoa; Chordata; Testudines; Testudinidae. The transcript has 9 exons. The record is from RefSeq and is a predicted model, not a curated record.